ACCAUGUGCAUGUAUCUGACUAUGUGUCCUGUGCAGGACUGCCUCGCACAACGUAGAUUCAAACCAUGUGCCAUGCACAGAACUGGCCUGCAUGAUGAAGCCGGAUGCCGUGUGUGGAUAGAAAGUCAUGGAAUGGGUGGUAAAGUCAUGGAGAGGCAGUCGAUUUAACUUUUUUCAUUUAAAAUAUUAUUCUAAAUAAUAAAAUAUAAUAAUAAUGGAGGAGUAGAUUUGGCAUUUUCAUCCGGCACA
Molecule: long non-coding RNA, 249 nt
Filed under: Elaeis guineensis (African oil palm)
Lineage: Eukaryota; Viridiplantae; Streptophyta; Magnoliopsida; Arecales; Arecaceae
Description: long non-coding RNA (EGUI_LNC009453)
Source: RNAcentral